CCUACGGGAGGCAGCAGUGAGGAAUAUUGGUCAAUGGCCGGAAGGCUGAACCAGCCAAGCCGCGUGAAGGACGAAGGUGCCAAGCAUUGUAAACUUCUUUUGUCAAGGAACAAUAUCUGGUUCGUGUACCUUACUGCGGGUACCUGAUGAAAAAGCAUCGGCUAACUCCGUGCCAGCAGCCGCGGUAAUACGGAGGAUGCGAGCGUUAUCCGGAUUUAUUGGGUUUAAAGGGUGCGUAGGCGGCCUGUUAAGUCAGCGGUAAAAGCCCGGGGCUCAACCCCGGCGAGCCGUUGAAACUGGCGGUCUUGAGAUGGCGAGAAGUAUGCGGAAUGCGCGGUGUAGCGGUGAAAUGCUUAGAUAUUGCGCAGAACCCCGAUUGCGAAGGCAGCAUACCGGCGCCACACUGACGCUGAGGCACGAAAGCGUGGGUAUCGAACAGGAUUAGAUACCCGUGUAGUC
This 459-nucleotide ribosomal RNA is filed under the name uncultured bacterium. Its description in RNAcentral is "partial 16S ribosomal RNA". It matches the Rfam family "Bacterial small subunit ribosomal RNA", at positions 338 to 795 of the family's 1533-position model. The record is from RNAcentral.